Long non-coding RNA from Folsomia candida, 1551 nucleotides. RefSeq lists it as uncharacterized. The record is from RefSeq and is a predicted model, not a curated record. NCBI's taxonomy places the organism in Eukaryota, Metazoa, Arthropoda, Collembola, Entomobryomorpha, Isotomidae. The transcript has 4 exons.
UAUUCAUGCAGUGCAAAAAUAUGACAAAAAAUACUCCAGUCAUUCCAUAUGUGCUGAAUUGCCGGCUGAAUACAGACUUAUUUUUAUUUAUUUAUUUAAUUUGUCGCAUAAAGUGAUUAGUUAUAAUUAUUCGUUUGUGAAAUUUUUGAGAUUCCAAAAUACAGUGAAAUGUCGGGUUUUAUCCCAGUGCCACAAACUGAGGAUGGCACGACGAAAGAACAUGUUGCAACGGAGUGGUACGAAUUUCGAUUGGCGGAUGGAACCUUAAAGUGGCCACAAGUCGUGGGAGGAAUAAUUGCUCUAAUUCUGCUGGUCGGGUUGAUUGUGUUGAUUGCAUUCUUAAUUAUUGGAUUUAUGGGUUUAGGUGCCAGUCGUUGGUUCCAUGCGAAUCUAAUGGUGAGACUGAGACUUGUAGUAAAAUAUGUGCAUAAUUCAGGACCACCCCGAUUCAUCAAGACGGAGUCGCGACGGAGGCAACUUACCCUAGCGUAUGGGGAACAAGGUCAGAUUACCUGCACAGUAGAUGCUCAACCUCCUGCGACCUGGACGUGGAAAUGUGGUAAGGUCGAGAUCAAUAAGGAUAAUCCGUACAAAGCAAAACUCAAAGUUACCAAUACGGAGAACGAGUCAACUCUUAAGGUACCCUUGCACAUACAGAUAAAUAUGUAUUUUUAGCAAACUGUACAGCGAGAUAUGGAACUUUGCUUUGCAAAUCCCUAAACCUAAAUAUUUUUUACGAAUUCCUAAACCGAAUUAUUAUUUUGGGCAAAUUCCAAAUAAUGCCAAUUUACGUGCAAGCCAAAGUUGGAAUAUAUUCCCGAACUAUUUCGAGGCGGUGGUUGCUCUUGCCAGCCCCGUAACGAGGUAACCACCCAUCUCAUAACCCUCCACACGAACGUCGCCCUGUUCUACCCGCCCGUCAAACUGCAUCAGGCCACCUUCCGUGGCGACACGACCGUCCGACUGACCACGUAUCGUGACGAGGAUAAAGGACCAGCAGACACGGACAAGUGUUUCUUUGUCCAAUACAAGAUCUCCGAUCCGGAGGUGGACGACGAGUGGAAAUUUGCGGAGCGGAUUUUGACCAAUUUAGACUUUGACGUCAAGCGGUGCACGAUUGAGAAAUGGAAAGAGUGGAGGAUUGACGGCUUCAUUACUACGGAUGUGUUUAACCAUUUAAAUGUGGGAUCCGCACAUUUUGACCUGCACGGCCUGCAGCCUACUGCAGGGUACGAUGUUCGGGCGAUGGCCGUCAGCCUGGAGAAUGGCAACGUUCCACAUGUCAGGUUUAGUGAUGGGACAAAACAUCAGGUUUAAUGAUGGGAUUCAUUUCAUGACCAAGGGAGCGAAACAACUGAGCGACAAUAACUGAUGCCGUGAUGAAAUGAACAAAAAUUUCGUGUGAUUAAGUAUGUAUGGACACUUGGGUUUUUUAACUUGCAUAUCAAUUUAUUUUUAAGUUUCGACUUUCAGUAUAUGUAAAUCUAGUUAUGUAGAAAUUUAUCAUGUCCUAUUUUUAAGCUUGUGGAAUAAAAUUUUAAAAUGUGUUGA